This 1014-nucleotide long non-coding RNA is filed under the name Gadus morhua (Atlantic cod). RNAcentral's name for it is "lncRNA (ENSGMOG00000026704.1)". The record is from RNAcentral. Lineage: Eukaryota; Metazoa; Chordata; Actinopteri; Gadiformes; Gadidae.
AUGUGUCUGUAUAGAGUCGGGUCCCAGGUGAACCAGAACUUCUGCUGUGCCCAUCAGCCAGGAGACGGUUUCAUAACGGUGGCCUUCUGCUUCUUCAUAUCUGACUUUAUCCCUCCUUUAUGGGUUUGUGGGUCCCUGUCCUUAAGACCUACAGACCCUACAGACCAGGACCAGAGACCCUACAGACCGGGACCACCAGAGACCCUACAGACCAGGACCAGAGACCCUACAGACCGGGACCAGAGACCCUACAGACCGGGACCACCAGAGACCCUACAGACCAGGACCAGAGACCCUACAGACCGGGACCACCAGAGACCCUACAGACCAGGACCAGAGACCCUACAGACCGGGACCAGAGACCCUACAGACCGGGACCACCAGAGACCCUACAGACCAGGACCAGAGACCCUACAGACCGGGACCACCAGAGACCCUACAGACCAGGACCAGAGACCCUACAGACCAGGACCAGAGACCCUACAGACCGGGACCAGAGACCCUACAGACCGGGACCACCAGAGACCCUACAGACCAGGACCAGAGACCCUACAGACCAGGACCAGAGACCCUACAGACCGGGACCAGAGACCCUACAGACCGGGACCACCAGAGACCCUACAGACCAGGACCAGAGACCCUACAGACCGGGACCACCAGAGACCCUACAGACCAGGACCAGAGACCCUACAGACCAGGACCAGAGACCCUACAGAUCGGGACCAGAGACCCUACAGACCGGGGCCACCAGAGACCCUACAGACCAGGACCACCAGAGACCCUACAGACCAGGACCACCAGAGACCCUACAGACCGGGACCAGAGACCCUACAGACCGGGACCAGAGACCCUACAGACCGGGACCAUCAGAGACCCUACAGACCGGGACCAUCAGAGACCCUACAGACCGGGACCACCAGAGACCCUACAGACCGGGACCACCAGAGACCCUACAGACCGGGACCAGAGACCCUACAGACCGGGACCACCAGAGACCCUACAGACCACAGCUAA